GACAGAGGGUGCAAACGUUGCUCGGAAUUACUGGGCGUAAAGCGCGUGUAGGUGGAUUGGUGUGUCAGAUGUGAAAUCCCUGGGCUCAACCCAGGAACUGCACCUGAAACUACCAGUCUUGAGUGGUGGAGAGGGAUGCGGAAUUCCAGGUGUAGCGGUGAAAUGCGUAGAUAUCUGGAGGAACACCGGUGGCGAAGGCGGCAUCCUGGACCAACACUGACGCUGAGUGAGCGAAAGCCAGGGGAGCAAACGGG
RNAcentral lists this ribosomal RNA (254 nucleotides) under uncultured bacterium. RNAcentral's name for it is "partial 16S ribosomal RNA". It matches the Rfam family "Bacterial small subunit ribosomal RNA", at positions 524 to 776 of the family's 1533-position model. The record is from RNAcentral.